CAAUAAGCGGAGGAAAAGAAACUAACAAGGAUUCCCCUAGUAACUGCGAGUGAAGCGGGAAAAGCUCAAAUUUAAAAUCUGGUGGCCAUCCGGCCAUCCGAGUUGUAAUUUAGAGAAGCGUCUUCCGCGCUGGACCAUGCACAAGUCUCCUGGAAUGGAGCGUCAUAGAGGGUGAGAAUCCCGUCUUUGGCAUGGAUGCACCAGGGCUUAUGUGAUGCGCUCUCGAAGAGUCGAGUUGUUUGGGAAUGCAGCUCAAAAUGGGUGGUGAACUCCAUCUAAAGCUAAAUAUUGGCGAGAGACCGAUAGCGAACAAGUACCGUGAGGGAAAGAUGAAAAGCACUUUGGAAAGAGAGUGAAACAGUACGUGAAAUUGUUGAAAGGGAAACGCUUGAAGUCAGUCGCGUCGACCGAGACUCAGCCUUGCCUCGGCUUGGUGUACUUCUUGAUCGACGGGUCAGCGUCAAUUUUGCCCCUCGGAUAAUGACAAGGGAAAGGUAGCACCUUUACGGGUGUGUUAUAGUCUCUCGUCGGAUGCGAGGGUCGGGAUUGAGGGACUCAGCACGCGCCUUUUGGUGUCGGGGCUUCGGCCUACGUUUACGUGCUUAGGAUGCUGGCAUAAUGGCUUUAAACGACCCGUCUUGAAACAC
This 647-nucleotide ribosomal RNA is filed under the name Russula densifolia. Its description in RNAcentral is "LSU rRNA". It matches the Rfam family "Eukaryotic large subunit ribosomal RNA", at positions 44 to 662 of the family's 3401-position model. The record is from RNAcentral. Lineage: Eukaryota; Fungi; Basidiomycota; Agaricomycetes; Russulales; Russulaceae.